AACCGUUUGGUUCCAAUAUUUACUUGCUGGCUCCACCGCAAGUCCAUUUCUCCCCCUUUUCCCCUACAAUACUAGGAACGUACACACUCACUUGAUGCAAAACACGAGUGAGUGCGUGUUCCACCUUCACACCCUACCAAGUGACAGACAAUCCGAGCAGUUUGAGCUCGAGCAAAAGACCGGACAGCCCUGUUGUCGUUGUGUUCACUCACAGAGGGCACCACAUGUACAACAGGGUGGGCAAACCAAAACAUAACAAAAUGCGAGCAUAGCCGUUACAAUGCAACAUUAUGCUAAAAUGCGUGAUAAAAAGGGAGUCGGGACGGGGGCAAAUUCUCUUUGUACCGUGAUCCUCCAAAGAAUUAGUAGUGCGCGCGUGUUUAAUUGUUAAAUGUUGAGGAUCCGUGUCGUUAGAAAUGUAAAAUCGUUAAAAUGUUUAGGACGAAAAUGUAAUAGUGCCGAGAGAUUGUUAAAGUGUCAGUUUGUUAAAAUAACAAAAGCACGAAAACGACAAAUAAGAACGAAAACGACAAACAAGAACGAUAAACGAAAAACAAGAUAAAAUAGAGCAGAAAAAGGUAAAUUUAGAGGUUAGGAAGUGGGACGUUGCUGGGUAUUAAUCCGUGGUGCCCAGGCCCGUGUCAAUGGGCCGUUUUCUUUUGUCCUUUUUUCUGAGAGUGGUUCCGGUGAUGUGCCUCCCGGACGAGCGAGCCCUGUGAACGAGUGACGGAUGAGUGACCGUUAUAAUUCCCGGACGAUUGUGCAGUGACUCCGGCAACAAGAUGGCUGGAUUGAGCCUGUAGACCAGCGGCCUGCCCGUACACAGUAACGCGGCGUUCUCGGUCCGCCAUUGCGAAUCCCCGAGCUACUUCUCCAAGCCAUCGCCAUCUUCCGUAAACCGUAUUCCAGUAUAACCGUAAGUUACACCCGCCCACUUCAACAAGUUCAGGCCGAGUCGGCCAACCAUAGCCAUUUCCCACCUCACGGGUGACGAGACCACCGAAAAUUCCGACCACGACAAUUGUUUGUAGCAUGCCCAGUACCCUAAAGUGACGUCCCGAAUAAAAUUGUAAAAGCUAGCUUCAGUGUAGCGAAUUAUUGAAAAGAGCCUCCCAGAGUAAUUAGGCCUUUCACCAAUUUCCCUUUUUGCGUCGUCUUCCGGGUUCAGAAAGGAACCGCUCAAGCCUCGUUCCUUCGAGGAUCAUUGUGUGCUUAGAUACCCCCCCCCCCUUUCCGCUUCUAGUUUGCCUGCCCAUAGUAUCUGUGUCCUCUGUGAGCCGAGCUUCCGCGGAAUCUAGUUUGCUCCUGCUCGGAUUGAUAAUCUAGAUCUUGGCUAUGGGUGUGAUAGUAAUGUCCUUAAACGACCCUGCAGAUUCCAAUCCCCUAUGCCGUGAGCUUAGCGAGUUACAAAUUGGCGCCCAACAAAAAUUACAUUAAAACCCCAUAUGCUUCCGUUUUUCCCGGAAGGGGAGGUAAAAACAGUGUCCUGUUUGCGAUUUUGCUUCGUUCUCCUAACGAAGUUUAGUAACUAACUAAUGCGUAUGGAUUCUAUUCCGGAAUCGCGAAGAAAGUCUAGGAAAUUAUGAAAUGCGCGCGGAAACAUUAGGUUUUUUUUUCAAAUUUGCAUGUUUUUUUUUAUUUCAAUUCGGUUGCGGUAAUAAAAGUUUAGUUCUAUUUUUCAAUUUAGGUCGUAUUUUUCAAUCCGAUUGUGCAAAACAUAGAAUAACAAAUUUUCCAUUUUUAGAAUAAAGCACAGAAAACCCGAACGCGAUCGCGACAGAAACGGUAUGCCUCGUAAAAACUGGAGGAGUUCGCACGGCCGGCGUGCAACGAGAUGGAAAGACCGGUCUGUCCUACUCUCAUCCUCGGGUAAAUCGGCAAGAGAUGCCAACGAUAUCGAUACUCGCUUACUCCCGGUAAAACUUGGUCGUUUCCGAACUCCACGGAACGGUUACCGUCAUCGAAUUCGGUUGGUCGCAACAAUCGUAGUUGCAGACCCGUUUAAGAAUGCGUCGCGAGAAAAGUAAACCGAAUCGGCUUUGGGAGUCAACCCAAAAGUCUACCGAAAUCGAGACCGGAACUAAAACGAAAAGCCAAAAUCGACCGCGAAAACUUACCUGAAAGUGUCAAUACUUACCACGAUACUUACCCACGAUCCGGUAUUCCGUUGAAACUUAUCACGUUUACGAAAAACACAACAGAAUAUAAACGAACAUCCGCGAAAUAAUUUACGAAACGCGAAACCGUCGAAAAUACGCGAAAUAUGACACCCCAGACGUUAACAAUAUUCGGCGAUUUUUAAACCAAAAUACUUGGCGGAACUCCGAAGGCCCACCUGGGAAGUUUCUUUCCAGCAAGCCCGUUCCCCAAAACCCCAAAAACAUAAUUUAUUCGGUGACUCUGCGUACUACCGUAAAAGUACGAAAAUGAGAACAACGUUUUGCUCGGGUCUCUUUUGAGCACCAGAGAGUAUCGGUCCGUCGCGGCCAUGAUUCAGUUGUAGCAGGUUCGAUCAUUCCCGGCGAAGAAUUCCGGUGCGACCUCUACACACCCUUCCAUAAGUGGGACCAGUUCACAGGAAACGAACUGGCGAUACCGAAAAUCCCACGUCGAAAGUUGAAAGGACGAUUGAAGUCCAAACCUAGAAUCAAAAAUCUUUCAUCGAUGAAAGUCUUCAAUUCAGUCGUAAUUGAUUGACUACUUACCAUUCACAGGUCCGGACCACCACUGAAUGGAUGCACUUUCGCAUACCUGAAAUGCAUUAAUACGUCAGAUUGAAAUUAUGUUAUUGUUUACGAACAGUAACUUACCAGGGUAAAUCGUAUAAUCGUCUCCCGAAGUAGAAUCUCUCCCUCGAACCGAUUCCGCAACUGAUCCAUGUAACGUCGACCGGAAAAUGAUACGCGAAUCGCGGUUCUUCUCGUGUACACCCCGGAAGAUUCUUAUUCGCGGACACAAUUUUUCUUCACACCCGAUAAUCGCGAUUGAUUUCGUAGGAAAAAUAACGUUUGAGAUCGUCGGACCGCGCAAACCGUCGUACUCGCGUUAAAGUAAACAUAAACAUUGAUCAUCUGUUUCGUUGACAGUUUUCAACACAGUAGUGUUGGUGAUGAGUUACUCUCGAAUGAGAACCCUUUUCUUCUCGCAUGAGCGACGAAGGUUAACAGGGUGUUCCCGCAAACAGACAUUUGAAAUUUCUAAUUCACCAAAUCAGUGAUGAUGUUGGUUGAAGUUAUUAAUUACCAUCGAACAAUUAUCCCGUGCAAAAUGAAAUUCUUUCAUUUUGAGAGAGGGACGAUGGGGUAAUGUAACCGUUUGGUUCCAAUAUUUACUUGCUGGCUCCACCGCAAGUCCAUUUCUUCCCCUUUUCCCCUACAAUACUAGGAACGUACACACUCACUUGAUGCAAAACACGAGUGAGUGCGUGUUCCACCUUCACACCCUACCAAGUGACAGACAAUCCGAGCAGUUUGAGCUCGAGCAAAAGACCGGACAGCCCUGUUGUCGUUGUGUUCACUCACAGAGGGCACCACAUGUACAACAGGGUGGGCAAACCAAAACAUAACAAAAUGCGAGCAUAGCCGUUACAAUGCAACAUUAUGCUAAAAUGCGUGAUAAAAAGGGAGUCGGGACGGGGGCAAAUUCUCUUUGUACCGUGAUCCUCCAAAGAAUUAGUAGUGCGCGCGUGUUUAAUUGUUAAAUGUUGAGGAUCCGUGUCGUUAGAAAUGUAAAAUCGUUAAAAUGUUUAGGACGAAAAUGUAAUAGUGCCGAGAGAUUGUUAAAGUGUCAGUUUGUUAAAAUAACAAAAGCACGAAAACGACAAAUAAGAACGAAAACGACAAACAAGAACGAUAAACGAAAAACAAGAUAAAAUAGAGCAGAAAAAGGUAAAUUUAGAGGUUAGGAAGUGGGACGUUGCUGGGUAUUAAUCCGUGGUGCCCAGGCCCGUGUCAAUGGGCCGUUUUCUUUUGUCCUUUUUUCUGAGAGUGGUUCCGGUGAUGUGCCUCCCGGACGAGCGAGCCCUGUGAACGAGUGACGGAUGAGUGACCGUUAUAAUUCCCGGACGAUUGUGCAGUGACUCCGGCAACAAGAUGGCUGGAUUGAGCCUGUAGACCAGCGGCCUGCCCGUACACAGUAACGCGGCGUUCUCGGUCCGCCAUUGCGAAUCCCCGAGCUACUUCUCCAAGCCAUCGCCAUCUUCCGUAAACCGUAUUCCAGUAUAACCGUAAGUUACACCCGCCCACUUCAACAAGUUCAGGCCGAGUCGGCCAACCAUAGCCAUUUCCCACCUCACGGGUGACGAGACCACCGAAAAUUCCGACCACGACAAUUGUUUGUAGCAUGCCCAGUACCCUAAAGUGACGUCCCGAAUAAAAUUGUAAAAGCUAGCUUCAGUGUAGCGAAUUAUUGAAAAGAGCCUCCCAGAGUAAUUAGGCCUUUCACCAAUUUCCCUUUUUGCGUCGUCUUCCGGGUUCAGAAAGGAACCGCUCAAGCCUCGUUCCUUCGAGGAUCAUUGUGUGCUUAGAUACCCCCCCCCCCCCUUUCCGCUUCUAGUUUGCCUGCCCAUAGUAUCUGUGUCCUCUGUGAGCCGAGCUUCCGCGGAAUCUAGUUUGCUCCUGCUCGGAUUGAUAAUCUAGAUCUUGGCUAUGGGUGUGAUAGUAAUGUCCUUAAACGACCCUGCAGAUUCCA
Molecule: long non-coding RNA, 4689 nt
Organism: Aedes albopictus (Asian tiger mosquito)
Lineage: Eukaryota; Metazoa; Arthropoda; Insecta; Diptera; Culicidae
Exons: 5
Source: RefSeq, a predicted model, not a curated record